This 388-nucleotide ribosomal RNA is filed under the name uncultured bacterium. RNAcentral's name for it is "bacterial SSU rRNA". It matches the Rfam family "Bacterial small subunit ribosomal RNA", at positions 30 to 420 of the family's 1533-position model. The record is from RNAcentral.
AUUGAACGCUGGCGGCAUGCCUUACACAUGCAAGUCGAACGGUAACAGGUCUUCGGAUGCUGACGAGUGGCGAACGGGUGAGUAAUAUAUCGGAACGUGCCCAGUUGUGGGGGAUAACUACUCGAAAGAGUGGCUAAUACCGCAUACGACCUGAGGGUGAAAGCGGGGGAUCGCAAGACCUCGCGCAAUUGGAGCGGCCGAUAUCAGAUUAGGUAGUUGGUGGGGUAAAGGCCCACCAAGCCGACGAUCUGUAGCUGGUCUGAGAGGACGACCAGCCACACUGGGACUGAGACACGGCCCAGACUCCUACGGGAGGCAGCAGUGGGGAAUUUUGGACAAUGGACGCAAGUCUGAUCCAGCCAUGCCGCGUGCGGGAAGAAGGCCUCGG